RNAcentral lists this long non-coding RNA (848 nucleotides) under Chinchilla lanigera (long-tailed chinchilla). RNAcentral's name for it is "lncRNA (ENSCLAG00000028852.1)". Lineage: Eukaryota; Metazoa; Chordata; Mammalia; Rodentia; Chinchillidae. The record is from RNAcentral.
CCUGUUGGAGGUAGAGGAAGGCGGGCGGGCACGGCACGGAGUGCGGGAGCAUGCUGCCGGAGUUGGACAGCAGGAGGCAGCCCGAGUUCGCCAUGGAGCACAGCAUGGGGCGGCAGGGGGGCGCCCGGCGGCCGGAGGAGCUCUGCGCUCGCUGCGUCCCUCGGUGUGUGCGCGCGCCCUGCCUCCCGGGCGCCCUCCCGGUCUCUCCUCCUCCUCUUCCUCCUCGGGGCCUCCCCUCCCCCUCGUGGCGCUCUUUAGGAGGGAGGCAUGGAAAGGCCAGCGGCGCGCCUCUGCCCGGUGCUCCCCCUGCCUAGGCAGGGAAGCUGAAGAGAGAGCGCGCGAGAAUAUGGCAAGAGAAUAUAUGCGCGAGAGGAUGGAUGCGAGGGAACGAGGGGGAGUCUGCCACUUUGGAGCAACCCGAGCCCUGUCUGCAAAGAGUGGUAGGGGCAGACCCAGGACAUUCAGUGCCAGUUCUGGACUCCGCUCUCCUUCCUAAAGGCACCUGGUAUCCUCUCCUCCCACCAUGGACAGCAAGUUCUCCUCUGGAAGGAGGCUGUCUUGAGGCUUCUCCUGUGCACAGAGGACAUCAUGGAGCUUGGCAGAGGCCACUCAGGACAAGGGCUGAGCUCACAGGCUCCAGUUACAGCAAGGCCAUCGUCACAGAUACACUGUGUCUGCGUGGUUCUGCAGAGCCAGACCUUCCUGCCCCAGCCUGGGCUUCUUGGCGCAGGGUAGCAUGAGAGGCCUUGGAAACUCCACUCCAGUGCUCCAGGGCAUGGUGAAACUGUCACAGUCAUACAGCUUUGGACACAUGAGAUCUCAGUCAUCCGGGCACCUUCAGACUCCUG